GAUGAAGAACGCAGCGAAAUGCGAUAAGUAAUGUGAAUUGCAGAAUUCAGUGAAUCAUCGAAUCUUUGAACGCACCUUGCGCUCUUUGGUAUUCCGAAGGGCAUGCCUGUUUGAGUGUCAUGAAAAUAUCAACCUUGACUUGGGUUUUGUGCUCUAGUCUCGGCUUGGAAUUGGGUGCUUGCCGCUUUUACGAGCGGCUCACCUUAAAUGUAUUAGCUGGAUCUGUCUUUGAGACUUGGUUUGACUUGGCGUAAUAAGUAUUUCGCUAAGGACAUUCUUCGGAGUGGCCUCGUUUCUAGGACGCUUGUCCGCUUUCCAAUACAAGUUCCACCUCGUGGACAUGACUUUUUAUUAUCUGGCCUCAAAUCAGGUAGGACUACCCGCUGAACUUAAGCAUAUCAAUAAGCGGAGGA
RNAcentral lists this unclassified non-coding RNA (413 nucleotides) under soil metagenome. Its description in RNAcentral is "partial contains 5.8S ribosomal RNA, internal transcribed spacer 2, and large subunit ribosomal RNA". The stretch from base 1 to 120 matches the Rfam family "5.8S ribosomal RNA", at positions 35 to 154 of the family's 154-position model. The record is from RNAcentral.